This 91-nucleotide non-coding RNA is filed under the name Bacillus sp. (in: firmicutes). Its description in RNAcentral is "Bacillus sp. c-di-GMP sequence". It matches the Rfam family "c-di-GMP-I riboswitch aptamer". From Rfam's summary of the family: GEMM was predicted in a large-scale screen for bacterial structured RNA regulatory elements. Genes associated with GEMM are involved in a diverse array of functions, including chemotaxis regulation, signal transduction, secretion and chitin. RNAcentral also lists the same sequence under 1 other name. Lineage: Bacteria; Bacillati; Bacillota; Bacilli; Caryophanales; Bacillaceae. The record is from RNAcentral.
UUAACGAAAAGGCAAACUUGCUGAAAGGCAAGGACGCAAAACCACAGAUCUAAAGAUUGCUAGAGCAAUCCAAGAUGGCUGGGUUACCGAA